UUUGUUUUUAAGUGGAACAUUUGACCAGCAGGGAAGGAAUGAAGAAACAAAAUUCAUUUUGGCUUUUUAUAAAUAUAAGGCCAAUUUCCAAUUGGACCCCAAAUAGUAUCUAAUUAUAUAAUAAGAAAAAUGUAUGUUCUUUCUCAACAGUACAUUUAAAAAAUUGGAGGAAGAGGAGAAAACAGUUUGGCGAAGAAGGUCCAUUAAAAGUUGGAGUAUCUAUGGCUACAGGAGCCACUUUUUUUAAAAAACAUCCUGGCAAAAGAUGCGCUUUUUACUCAAUGGACUGAUAAGUGCACAUCUAAUUUAUUCUCUUUCUACUUGUGUCCUUUAGGUUUGUUUUCAGUAUUUACUGAUAUAAAACUAAAGGAAAAAAGUCAACCUAAAAUAAUUUAAAAUUAGAUUAACAUCUCAAUCAAAUUUUAUGGAUUUUUUUCCUGUAGGUAAUAUAUUUAAUCCAGAAGUUAAAUCAUGGGAACAUGAUUUUGAUUUUAAAAAUUUAAAAAGUGAUUAUGCUUCCUUAUGUUGCAAUAUCAGUUAUUUAACUACAUAAUAGUGUUUUAUAUAACUCAAAGUCAGGAAAAUUAAAUAAAAAUGACUCUAGAUUUUGGAAUAGAAGUGCAAUGCUUUAUGUGGGAGCAGUUGGAGCAGGGUGUCUUCACGGACUAGAAGGAAAACUUGAAACUUCCACCUUUUUCUUAGUUUCUUUUAUCAUUCAUCUCUUGCUGGAUCUGCUAAAUCACCCCAACUUGCUCAGAGCUCUCAUCUUGAAGCAGUGAGUAGGCAAUCCCACUUCUUUCUUUCCCUUUGAAGUGUAAGCCCUGAAUGGAGCUACAGGUCCCUGCGCCACACGGGCAUAUACAACCUAAACUGGUGCAUACGUGCCCUGUUAGCCACGGGACUCUUUACAGAAAGAAAUCCAAAAUAAUGACUGUAAUAAAAAGUAAACAAGCUUUAGCCAGGUUGGCUCUUUACCAUGGAGAAAGCCAAAUUUUGACUUUUUUAUGGCCCAAUUCCUUGUUGAUAGCUAGCGUUGCUUCCUGAUUUGAUUGUAUGUACGCCUGGAGAGCCUACAACGUCUAACACCGUUUGGGGAAGGAUGAUAAAAACGUCUUCUGAGAUAGCAUCUGCAGCAACUGGAAUGGGAAAUCAAGAUAUAAGUCUCAGACAGAACGUUGGUUGAAUUACAAAUCACCUUGUCACAAAAUUGUAUAUAACCUUUGAUCAUACACCUUUUUAUUUUAUUGUAAACUUCUAUUUGCAUCCAACCUAAUGAUAGUAAUAACUAAGUAAAAAAACAGUAUAUGGCUUUCCAUACAAGUAUUUUCACAAAAGUCAUUUGCCUAGAGAGUGAAAAAUACUGCUUUGUUAAACUAUUUUCAUCUGUC
Molecule: long non-coding RNA, 1388 nt
Organism: Suricata suricatta (meerkat)
Lineage: Eukaryota; Metazoa; Chordata; Mammalia; Carnivora; Herpestidae
Exons: 2
Source: RefSeq, a predicted model, not a curated record